Molecule: ribosomal RNA, 460 nt
Filed under: uncultured bacterium
Lineage: Bacteria
Description: partial 16S ribosomal RNA
Rfam family: Bacterial small subunit ribosomal RNA
Source: RNAcentral
CCUACGGGCGGCUGCAGUGAGGACUAUUGGUCAAUGUGCGGGAGCCUGAACCAGCCAAGUCGCGUGAGGGAAGACGGUCCUAUGGAUUGUAAACCUCUUUAGGCGGGGAGCAAUGCAGGGCACGCGUGCCCGGAGGGAGAGUACCCGCAGAAUAAGCAUCGGCUAACUCCGUGCCAGCAGCCGCGGUAAUUCGGAGGAUGCGAGCGUUAUCCGGAUUUAUUGGGUUUAAAGGGUGCGUAGGCGGAUUUUUAAGUCAGCGGUAAAAUGUCCGGGCUCAACCCGGGCCGGCCGUUGAAACUGGGGAGCUUGAGUGGGCGAGAAGUAUGCGGAAUGCGUGGUGUAGCGGUGAAAUGCAUAGAUAUCACGCAGAACUCCGAUUGCGAAGGCAGCAUACCGGCGCCCGACUGACGCUGAGGCACGAAAGCGUGGGGAUCGAACAGGAUUAGAUACCCCAGUAGUC